GAGUUAGACAUUCUAAAAACAUAUACGCGGAUAUUGUUUGUUUGGUUAAUAAAUAUCAAAAUGCAUCCUGUGGUUAUUAGUGUCAUCUAUUUCUGAUUGGAAACAUCGAAAAACUUGUUUCAUUGCCUUUGAAAUUAUAUGAUACAAUUUUCUUGUAUCUCUUCCAUAAGAAGCAAAUGAGUGAAUGUCCGAACCGACAUCAGUUGGUGUCAAUGAGGAUGACAAUGUGGCCCUAGAGUACAACACUAACAAUGUCAAGAAAGCAAAGCUCAAUUCAACACUAGCUUAACUCUUCGUUGAUCCUGUGCUUGCAGAUGUACCGAAAAAACCAAUUCUAUCAGAUGUUAACACCCUGAUCAGCUUGGAACUCGAUGUUGCUGUGAUGAAUUCUGCAACAAUCAAGGAUUUGAAACCUUUUGUUGAGAAAAAAGGUCAAUGAAAUGGAGCAGUCAAAGAUGAGCCAUGAGGCCAUCGCCAUAUUUGCUUGAGCUUCCAUCGGUCCAUCUGUCGGUUGUGUUUUCUAUCUCUCAUACCACAAUGAAAAGCUUCUGAACGAGGCUGCAGUUCUUCAAGAUCAUGGUGUACGAAAUCACUCUCAGUUCUUCAAGAUUGAGGUCUUAUCCGUUAAGGCAGCUUUCGGUGAAGCAGGAUCAGUAUGCACUGUGUUUAAGGAGUUGAACUACGGGUUAAGGUAUUUUACUACGAAUUGGGACCUAUGUGACAUAAAUAAAAGUGCUAUGUUAUAUGUGUGAAAUUGUUCUCUUUUUGGUAUUUGUCCUGAAUGUUUAAUUUGAUAUAAUGGAGUCAUUUUACUGGUUUGGUAAUUGUUGCAUUUCUUGCACAUAAGGUGUUCGAUGUAUUGCCCCAACGAGUUUUUAUGCAGCCUAUGACAUCAUUUUGCUGUAAAAAUAACCCCAAUGCCUGAUGCCCAACAUGUUAUCUUUUGGAUUUGGUUCAUUUGUUCAUCAAUAAUAUGAAUUGGAGUCGGGUUUUUUAAGAUCUGUUUUUGAAAAUGGGAUUCUCAGCCUAGCAUGUCUUUAGUGAUUGUUGGUUGCUUGUAUUAGACACAGAUGUUGCUGUGAUGAAUUCUGCAAUACUCAAGGAUUUGAAACUGAGAAAAAUAGGUCAAUGAAAUGGAGUAGUCAAAGAUGGGUCAUCUUCAUAUUUUUUGGUAUUUCUCUUUCCUUUGUUACCUAGUUGUAUUUCAUAUAAAUGGUAUGAAAUUGCCUCCUUCAUGACUAGGUACCAUGAACUGCUUGCUAUUUCUCAUGUUUUUUGCGAAUACUAUUUUUCUCAUUUGUUGAUUAUCCAAAAAUAAAUAUUUUUUUCCAAUGAUAAUUUUUGUGGUAAAUUUCUGAAAAAAUAGUCAUAUUGCACGUUUAGAGCUUCCAUUUGUUGGUUGUGUGUUCAGGAAGCAUGUUGUGUGGCGAAAAUUUUGUCUUUCAUACCACAAUGAAAAGCUUCUGAAUGAUGCUAUAGUUCUUUAAGAUCAUGGUGUACGAAAUCACUCUCAGGUAAGUGUGACUUGCAUCAUUUAUAUUUAGUUUUGCUGUGUGAUCGGGUCUCUAAAUCAGACUGUUACACUAACUGAUUCUUUUUUUAUUGUGUUUGGUUAUCUAACUCGGAUUCUUCAAAGCGACACUCGCGAAGGAGAAAACAUAGGUUUUUUCAUGGUCUCAACAGAAGGGAAUGAAUUGCUGAUCCUUAAGUAUGUUCCUGUGUAUUAAAUGUUCUGUUUUACAGAUGAAAGUCGACCAUGAAUCUUAGAAAGUGGUUUAGAAUUAUAUCUCUUUUGUGGAACUGCUUCUGAUCCAGAGGAAAUGAGUGAAACUGUUUCAGGAUAGAAACUGCAGCCGCUCGUGUGUUCUUUGAUGGAUAUUGGGGUGUGUUCUCUGUGGCAGUGGUUGCUGGGUUGUCAUUUGAAUUUAAUCAGUAAAUGAUGUGGAUUUGAAAUGUUGAAGCGGAUUUUUAGAAUAAGAAGAUUGAAGGAUGGUUUAGAGUGUGUGGCUGGCUGUUUAUGUGAAUAACUAUUUUAAACCCAAUGCGGUUAAGUGAACUUUUUUUUU
This is a long non-coding RNA of Helianthus annuus (common sunflower), 2066 nucleotides long. RefSeq lists it as uncharacterized. The record is from RefSeq and is a predicted model, not a curated record. NCBI's taxonomy places the organism in Eukaryota, Viridiplantae, Streptophyta, Magnoliopsida, Asterales, Asteraceae. The transcript has 3 exons.